AUGGUGAGAUGCGUGCUCAGGCCCAGAUCUAUUCCUGGUUGGGUUUUGGUUUUGUUUUCUGUUCUUGGGCUUAUGACCACCCUUGCACCAAACAAUAGAGCUCAACACACACAAACAAUUUACAAUCGGCUUUUUGGUAUUUUAUGCACAAACUUUUGGUAUUCACCAAAGCAAACACUUGAUGAAUGUGCAUAUAUUAGUUCAAUAUACCAAAAUCUAUGACUAUUUUUUAUUUUGCAUGUCUAUUCGUGUAUUUGUCGGGACAAUGCUAUUAACUGA
This 279-nucleotide long non-coding RNA is filed under the name Prunus dulcis (almond). RNAcentral describes it as "sRNA ncRNA". Lineage: Eukaryota; Viridiplantae; Streptophyta; Magnoliopsida; Rosales; Rosaceae. The record is from RNAcentral.